CCUACGGGAGGCAGCAGUGAGGAAUAUUGGUCAAUGGGCGUAAGCCUGAACCAGCCAAGUCGCGUGAGGGAUGAAGGUUCUAUGGAUCGUAAACCUCUUUUAUAAGGGAAUAAAGUGUGGGACGUGUCCUGUUUUGUAUGUACCUUAUGAAUAAGGCUCGGCUAACUCCGUGCCAGCAGCCGCGGUAAUACGGAGGAUCCGAGCGUUAUCCGGAUUUAUUGGGGUUAAAGGGUGCGUAGGCGGCCUUUUAAGUCAGCGGUGAAAGUCUGUGGCUCAACCAUAGAAUUGCCGUUGAAACUGGGAGGCUUGAGUAUGUUUGAGGCAGGCGGAAUGCGUGGUGUAGCGGUGAAAUGCUUAGAUAUCACGCAGAACCCCGAUUGCGAAGGCAGCCUGCCAAGCCAUGACUGACGCUGAUGCACGAAAGCGUGGGGAUCAAACAGGAUUAGAUACCCCAGUAGUC
RNAcentral lists this ribosomal RNA (460 nucleotides) under uncultured bacterium. Its description in RNAcentral is "partial 16S ribosomal RNA". It matches the Rfam family "Bacterial small subunit ribosomal RNA", at positions 338 to 795 of the family's 1533-position model. The record is from RNAcentral.